GAUUGAACGCUGGCGGCAUGCCUAACACAUGCAAGUCGAACGGGAGUAGCAAUACUCUAGUGGCGGACGGGUGAGGAAUACGUAGGAAUUUGCCCUUAAGUGGGGGAUAACCCGGGGAAACCCGGAUUAAUACCGCAUGACCUCGAAAGAGCAAAGUGGGGGAUCGCAAGACCUCACGCUUUUGGAGAAGCCUACGUCGGAUUAGCUAGUUGGUGAGGUAAGUCGC
Molecule: ribosomal RNA, 226 nt
Filed under: uncultured soil bacterium
Lineage: Bacteria
Description: partial 16S ribosomal RNA
Rfam family: Bacterial small subunit ribosomal RNA
Source: RNAcentral